Molecule: long non-coding RNA, 236 nt
Filed under: Elaeis guineensis (African oil palm)
Lineage: Eukaryota; Viridiplantae; Streptophyta; Magnoliopsida; Arecales; Arecaceae
Description: long non-coding RNA (EGUI_LNC002285)
Source: RNAcentral
UUGGAUUCUUCAUCAAAUUGAAUUUUGAUCGUUGAUCAGCACUCAGAAUCUUCUAUUCACAGUCGGGAUCACUAUCAGCCAUUGGAUUGUGCAUUAGAUCAAAUUUCGAUCAUCGGAUGGUGCACAUGAUCACUUUUGGUUUAGUUUUCAGCCGGCAACCAACCACAGCCAUUGGAUCUCAUUCAGAAACCAUUACCAGCCAUUGGAUCAUGCAAAGAAGUGGGCCACCAUCGAGC